RNAcentral lists this ribosomal RNA (219 nucleotides) under uncultured bacterium. Its description in RNAcentral is "partial 16S ribosomal RNA". It matches the Rfam family "Bacterial small subunit ribosomal RNA", at positions 57 to 305 of the family's 1533-position model. The record is from RNAcentral.
GCAAGUCGAGCGCGCCCUUCGGGUGAGCGGCGGACGGGUUAGUAACGCGUGGGAAUAUACCCAGUUCUACGGAAUAGCCUCGGGAAACGGAGAGUAAUACCUUAUACGCCCUUUGGGGGAAAGAUUUAUCGGAGAAGGAUUAGCCCGCGUUAGAUUAGGUAGUUGGUGGGGUAAUGGCCUACCAAGCCUACGAUCUAUAGCUGGUUUGAGAGGAUGAUC